This 472-nucleotide ribosomal RNA is filed under the name uncultured bacterium. RNAcentral describes it as "partial 16S ribosomal RNA". It matches the Rfam family "Bacterial small subunit ribosomal RNA", at positions 28 to 507 of the family's 1533-position model. The record is from RNAcentral.
GACGAACGCUGGCGGCGUGCUUAACACAUGCAAGUCGAACGCUGAAGCUUGGUGCUUGCACUGGGUGGAUGAGUGGCGAACGGGUGAGUAAUACGUGAGUAACCUGCCCUUGACUCUGGGAUAAGCCUGGGAAACUGGGUCUAAUACUGGAUACGACAUGUCACCGCAUGGUGGUGUGUGGAAAGGGUUUUACUGGUUUUGGAUGGGCUCACGGCCUAUCAGCUUGUUGGUGGGGUAAUGGCUCACCAAGGCGACGACGGGUAGCCGGCCUGAGAGGGUGACCGGCCACACUGGGACUGAGACACGGCCCAGACUCCUACGGGAGGCAGCAGUGGGGAAUAUUGCACAAUGGGCGGAAGCCUGAUGCAGCGACGCCGCGUGAGGGAUGACGGCCUUCGGGUUGUAAACCUCUUUCAGCACGGAAGAAGCGAAAGUGACGGUACGUGCAGAAGAAGCGCCGGCUAGCUACGUG